This 468-nucleotide ribosomal RNA is filed under the name uncultured bacterium. RNAcentral's name for it is "partial 16S ribosomal RNA". It matches the Rfam family "Bacterial small subunit ribosomal RNA", at positions 28 to 507 of the family's 1533-position model. The record is from RNAcentral.
GACGAACGCUGGCGGCGUGCUUAACACAUGCAAGUCGAACGGAAAGGCCCUGCUUUUGUGGGGUGCUCGAGUGGCGAACGGGUGAGUAACACGUGAGUAACCUGCCCUUGACUGUGGGAUAACUUCAGGAAACUGGGGCUAAUACCGGAUAGGAGCUCCUGCUGCAUGGGGGGGGUUGGAAAGUUUCGGCGGUUGGGGAUGGACUCGCGGCUUAUCAGCUUGUUGGUGGGGGAGUGGCUUACCAAGGCUUUGACGGGUAGCCGGCCUGAGAGGGUGACCGGCCACAUUGGGACUGAGAUACGGCCCAGACUCCUACGGGAGGCAGCAGUGGGGACUAUUGCACAAUGGGCGGAAGCCUGAUGCAGCAACGCCGCGUGCGGGAUGACGGCCUUCGGGUUGUAAACCGCUUUCGCCUGUGACGAAGCGUGAGUGACGGUAAUGGGUAAAGAAGCACCGGCUAACUACGUG